RNAcentral lists this ribosomal RNA (484 nucleotides) under uncultured bacterium. Its description in RNAcentral is "partial 16S ribosomal RNA". It matches the Rfam family "Bacterial small subunit ribosomal RNA", at positions 38 to 507 of the family's 1533-position model. The record is from RNAcentral.
GGGGGGGGGGGGGGGGGGGCGGGGGGCGGGGGGGUCGGGCGGGUGAAGGGGGGGUGCUCCUGGGUUCAGGGGCGGACGGGUGCGUAAUGCCUCGUCAGCGGCCUGGUAGUGGGGGAUACCGGCCGGCAACGGGCUCUAAUCCCGCAUACGUCCUGCGGGAGAAAGUGGUGUAUCUUCUUCCAUCCCGCUCUCCUAUUAUCCUAGGUCGCAUUAGCUAGUUGGUGGGGUCAAGGCCUACCAAGGCGACGAUCCGUAACUGUUCUGCGGGGAUGAUCAGGCACACUGGAACUGAGACACGGUCCAGACUCCUACGGGAGGCAGCAGUGGGGAAUAUUGGACAAUGGGCGAAAGCCGGAUCCAGCCAUGCCGCGUGUGUGAAGAAGGUCUUCGGAUUGUAAAGCACUUCAAGUUGGGAGGAAGGGCAGUAAGUUAAUACCUUGCUGUUUUGACGUUACCAACAGAAUAAGCACCGGCUAACUUCGUG